AGGAUAUUAAUUUAAUAAAAAAUUUUUAAAUUGCAUUUAAAUAAUGAUAUUAAUUAUCAUAUCUUA
This 66-nucleotide transfer RNA is filed under the name Chrysis ignita. RNAcentral's name for it is "tRNA-Ala". The record is from RNAcentral. Lineage: Eukaryota; Metazoa; Arthropoda; Insecta; Hymenoptera; Chrysididae.